UUGACCUCGAAUCAGGUAGGGUUACCCGCUGAACUUAAGCAUAUCAAUAAGCGGAGGAAAAGAAACCAACAGGGAUUGCCUUAGUAACGGCGAGUGAAGCGGCAACAGCUCAAAUUUGAAAUCUGGCCCCCGGGUCCGAGUUGUAAUUUGCAGAGGAAGCUUUUGGCGAGGCGCCUUCCGAGUUCCCUGGAUACGGGACGCCAUAGAGGGUGAGAGCCCCGUACGGUCUGGUGCCGAGCCUCUGUAAAGCUCCUUCGACGAGUCGAGUAGUUUGGGAAUGCUGCUCUAAAUGGGAGGUAAACUCCUUCUAAAGCUAAAUACUGGCCAGAGACCGAUAGCGCACAAGUAGAGUGAUCGAAAGAUGAAAAGCACUUUGAAAAGAGAGUUAAAAAGCACGUGAAAUUGUUGAAAGGGAAGCGCUUGUGACCAGACUUGCGCCUGGCAGCUUAGCCGUCCUUCUGGGCGGUGUACUCUGCCGGCUCAGGCCAGCAUCAGUUUCGGGCAGGGGAGAAAUGCGGCGGGAAUGUGGCUCUUCGGAGUGUUAUAGCCCGCCGUUAUGCCCUGCCGGGGACUGAGGUUCGCGCUCUGCACGGAUGCUGGCGUAAUGGUUAUCAGCGAC
Molecule: ribosomal RNA, 619 nt
Filed under: Halosarpheia japonica
Lineage: Eukaryota; Fungi; Ascomycota; Sordariomycetes; Microascales; Halosphaeriaceae
Description: eukaryotic LSU rRNA
Rfam family: Eukaryotic large subunit ribosomal RNA
Source: RNAcentral